GAUAAACGCUAGCGGCAGGCCUUACACAUGCAAGUCGAACGGUAACAGAAAGAGCUUGCUCUUUGCUGACGAGUGGCGCACGGGUGCGUAACGCGUAUGUAACCUACCCAUAACUGGAGAAUAGCUCAGAGAAAUCUGAAUUAAUACUCCAUAACAAUUGUUUUUCGCAUGAUUAACAAUUUAAAGCUUCGGUGGUUAUGGAUGGACAUGCGUGACAUUAGCUAGAUGGUAAGGUAACGGCUUACCAUGGCUACGAUGUCUAGGGGGUCUGAGAGGAUGGUCCCCCACACUGGUACUGAGACACGGACCAGACUCCUACGGGAGGCAGCAGUGAGGAAUAUUGGUCAAUGGACGAAAGUCUGAACCAGCCAUGCCGCGUGAAGGAUGACGGCCCUACGGGUUGUAAACUUCUUUUAUUUAGGAAGAAACCUUCUCACGUGUGAGAAGCUGACGGUACUAAACGAAUAAGCAUCGGCUAACUCCG
Molecule: ribosomal RNA, 484 nt
Filed under: uncultured Flavobacteriales bacterium
Lineage: Bacteria; Pseudomonadati; Bacteroidota; Flavobacteriia; Flavobacteriales
Description: bacterial SSU rRNA
Rfam family: Bacterial small subunit ribosomal RNA
Source: RNAcentral